UACAGAGGUCCCAAGCGUUGUUCGGAUUCACUGGGCGUAAAGGGUGCGUAGGCGGUCAGGUAAGUCUGAUGUGAAAUCUUCAAGCUCAACUUGGAAACUGCAUCGGAUACUAUUCGGCUCGAGGAAUGGAGGGGAGACUGGAAUACUUGGUGUAGCAGUGAAAUGCGUAGAUAUCAAGUGGAACACCAGUGGCGAAGGCGAGUCUCUGGACAUUUCCUGACGCUGAGGCACGAAAGCCAGGGGAGCAAACGGG
Molecule: ribosomal RNA, 253 nt
Filed under: uncultured bacterium
Lineage: Bacteria
Description: partial 16S ribosomal RNA
Rfam family: Bacterial small subunit ribosomal RNA
Source: RNAcentral